CGGUUAGACCAAGAAGUUCAGUUAUACUUCAUGGUAAAAAGGUAGUUAAAUGUGGUUUAAAAUCUUACUAAUUUCUGUAUAUAAGUAAAAUUUACACAUAGGAAUCAAUUUCUUAGAAGAGUUAGUCAUUGACGCUACGAAAAUCUUGAGGGAAACCGGGAUUAGAUACCCCGCUAUUCUUGAAAAUAAAUAUAUAAUAAACAUUAUUACCAGGGGACUACGAAUAUAAAUUAAUUAAUUUUAAAACCCAAAGAGCUUGGCGGUGUUUUAGACUAUUUAGGGGAGCUUGUUUCGUAAUCGACAAUCCACGUUAAACCUAAUCUUUUUUUGUAAACAGUAUGUAUAUCGUUGUCGUCAGGUAACUUUUAAAAANUAAGGAGUUAGCGGAUAAAUGUAAUAGAUUUAAACGUCAAAUCAAGAUGCAGCUUAUAAAAAGGUGAGAAUGAGCUACAAUUAAAAUUCAUAAUAUGGAUAAGAAAAGUAAUUUUUUCUUUGAAGGAGGACUUAAAAGUAAAGAUUUUAUUAUAAAAAUUUUUUGAAUUUAGCUCUGAAACGUGCACACAUCGCCCGUCGCUCUCGUUGAAAA
RNAcentral lists this ribosomal RNA (586 nucleotides) under Laevicaspia caspia. RNAcentral's name for it is "partial small subunit ribosomal RNA". The record is from RNAcentral. Lineage: Eukaryota; Metazoa; Mollusca; Gastropoda; Littorinimorpha; Hydrobiidae.